CGUGACGGCCACAGCGGCGGGGCCACACCUGGUCUCAUUCCGAACCCAGAAGUUAAGCCCGCCCGCGUUCUCUGCGGUACUAUGGUGCGCGAGCCCAUGGGAGGCCUAAGGUCUUUACGA
RNAcentral lists this ribosomal RNA (120 nucleotides) under Methanobacteriota archaeon. Lineage: Archaea; Methanobacteriati; Methanobacteriota. The record is from RNAcentral.